This 219-nucleotide ribosomal RNA is filed under the name uncultured Streptococcus sp. Its description in RNAcentral is "partial 16S ribosomal RNA". It matches the Rfam family "Bacterial small subunit ribosomal RNA", at positions 1164 to 1382 of the family's 1533-position model. Lineage: Bacteria; Bacillati; Bacillota; Bacilli; Lactobacillales; Streptococcaceae. The record is from RNAcentral.
CGGAGGAAGGUGGGGAGUGACGUCAAUCAUCAUGCCCCUUAUGACCUGGGCUACACACGUGCUACAAUGGUUGGUACAACGAGUUGCGAGUCGGUGACGGCGAGCUAAUCUCUUAAAGCCAAUCUCAGUUCGGAUUGUAGGCUGCAACUCGCCUACAUGAAGUCGGAAUCGCUAGUAAUCGCGGAUCAGCACGCCGCGGUGAAUACGUUCCCGGGCCUU